GAUCAUGGCUCAGAACGAACGCUGGCGGCAGGCUUAACACAUGCAAGUUGAAUGGGAUUUGUGUGGUGCUUGCACCAUAUAAUGAGAGUAGCGCACUGGUGAGUAACACGUGGGAACGUGCCUUUUAGUGGGGGAUAACAUCUGGAAACGGAUGCUAAUACCGCAUACGCCCUGAGGGGGAAAGAUUUAUUGCUAAGAGGCCGGCCCGCGGUAGAUUAGGCAGUUGGUGUGGUAAAGG
RNAcentral lists this ribosomal RNA (238 nucleotides) under uncultured bacterium. Its description in RNAcentral is "partial 16S ribosomal RNA". It matches the Rfam family "Bacterial small subunit ribosomal RNA", at positions 15 to 263 of the family's 1533-position model. The record is from RNAcentral.